Molecule: ribosomal RNA, 481 nt
Filed under: uncultured bacterium
Lineage: Bacteria
Description: partial 16S ribosomal RNA
Rfam family: Bacterial small subunit ribosomal RNA
Source: RNAcentral
GACGAACGCUGGCGGCGUGCCUAACACAUGCAAGUCGAACGGAGAUACGAUUUCGGUUGUAUCUUAGUGGCGAACGGGUGAGUAACGCGUGAACAACCUGACUCUUAGAGGGGGAUAACACUCGGAAACGGGUGCUAAUACCGCAUAAGACCACGACCCGGCAUCGGGAUGAGGUCAAAGGAGCAAUCCGCUGAGAGCGGGGUUCGCGUCCCAUUAGAUAGAUGGCGGGGUAACGGCCCACCAUGUCGAAGAUGGGUAGCCGAGCUGAGAGGCUGAUGGGCCACAAUGGUACUGAGGCACGGUCCAGACGCCUACGGGAGGCAGCAGUGGGGAAUAUUAGGCAAUGGGCGCAAGCCUGACCCAGCAACGCCGCGUGAGGGAAGAAGGCUUUCGGGUUGUAAAACUCUGUCCUUGGUGACGAAACAAAUGACGGUAGCCAAGGAGGAAGCCCCGGCUAACUACGUGCCAGCCGCCGCAGUAA